Molecule: ribosomal RNA, 490 nt
Filed under: uncultured bacterium
Lineage: Bacteria
Description: partial 16S ribosomal RNA
Rfam family: Bacterial small subunit ribosomal RNA
Source: RNAcentral
AUUGAACGCUGGCGGCAGGCCUAACACAUGCAAGUCGAACGGUAACAGGAAGAAGCUUGCUUCUUUGCUGACGAGUGGCGGACGGGUGAGUAAUGUCUGGGAAACUGCCUGAUGGAGGGGGAUAACUACUGGAAACGGUAGCUAAUACCGCAUAACGUCGCAAGACCAAAGAGGGGGACCUUCGGGCCUCUUGCCAUCGGAUGUGCCCAGAUGGGAUUGGCUUGUUGGUGGGGUAACGGCUCACCAAGGCGACGAUCCCUAGCUGGUCUGAGAGGAUGACCAGCCACACUGGAACUGAGACACGGUCCAGACUCCUACGGGAGGCAGCAGUGGGGAAUAUUGCACAAUGGGCGCAAGCCUGAUGCAGCCAUGCCGCGUGUAUGAAGAAGGCCUUCGGGUUGUAAAGUACUUUCAGCGGGGAGGAAGGGAGUAAAGUUAAUACCUUUGCUCAUUGACGUUACCCGCAGAAGAAGCACCGGCUAACUCCGUG